GGGGUUGUAGCUCAGUGGUAGAGCACUUGCCUCGCAUGCGUGAGACCCUGGGUUGGAUCCCCAGCACCA
This is a non-coding RNA of Ictidomys tridecemlineatus (thirteen-lined ground squirrel), 69 nucleotides long. NCBI's taxonomy places the organism in Eukaryota, Metazoa, Chordata, Mammalia, Rodentia, Sciuridae. The record is from Rfam.